RNAcentral lists this long non-coding RNA (223 nucleotides) under Hordeum vulgare. RNAcentral describes it as "long non-coding RNA (HVUL_LNC015946)". The record is from RNAcentral. Lineage: Eukaryota; Viridiplantae; Streptophyta; Magnoliopsida; Poales; Poaceae.
AAUUCUUUAGAGAGAUACAUUAUGCUUCCUAAUGGGUUUGGUUUACUAUUUUGAUUGGACCUAUACUUUUUCAAAUCAAUCAACAGCAACCGGCCAAUAUAAACAUAUUAAUCAUGCCCAUGCAACCGUUGACGUAGAAAUUUUCCCACAUAUAUAAGGAUUGUUAGCAUAUAAUAUAGAAUCACACCAUGAAAUGUCCAUCAAAUUACAAAUUUAAAAAAAA